GCUUACGGCCAUACCAGCCUGGGUACGCCCGAUCUCGUCUGAUCUCGGAAGCUAAGCAGGGUCGGGCCUGGUUAGUACUUGGAUGGGACACCGCCUGGGAAUACCAGGUGCUGUAAGCA
This 119-nucleotide ribosomal RNA is filed under the name Salmo salar (Atlantic salmon). Lineage: Eukaryota; Metazoa; Chordata; Actinopteri; Salmoniformes; Salmonidae. The record is from RNAcentral.